This is a long non-coding RNA of Falco peregrinus (peregrine falcon), 3184 nucleotides long. RefSeq lists it as uncharacterized. NCBI's taxonomy places the organism in Eukaryota, Metazoa, Chordata, Aves, Falconiformes, Falconidae. The record is from RefSeq and is a predicted model, not a curated record. The transcript has 7 exons.
UCGCUCCCUUUCUCAGGGUGGAGCCUGAAGUUGCUGCUGUUUAAUGGCAGUUUUACAGCGAGGGAGGCAAGGAGGGGCAGGGGAUGCUGUGCAGGGUGCUGGGUACAGGGCACGGUUCAGGUGUCCCAUGUCCUUGUUGCAUCAUCUCAGUGUAGUAUGGCUUUGCAGAGAACAGGUUAUGGAGAAGCAAAAGGUCGUCCAUGGGGUUUAGCAGGAAGUAAUGUGAAAACACAAGAUUUUUUUUCCUCCUGGUUUUACCAAAGUCAUUCCAGGAUGGGGUCUGUUAGCUUUACAGCAAAUGAAAGCAAGCCUGCAUCCCUGUGCAAACUCACUCUUGUUUAAUUAAGGUGGCCAAAUGGGCAUAAACUCCUGAGCCACUUGCUCUUUAUGAGCAGCUGAUUUCACUUUAGCUUAAGCCUGUUCCUACCCAGCUGAUGUGAAGGAGCAUCCAAGGAGCCAGUGGUACCAGGACACCCAGCACGGAUCAAAGUCACAGGUAUUAAGUUGAUGGCACAACAAUCCCCAAGUACAUUAGAUUCGCUUUCCUGCCCACCCCUGCCUGAAUGCAGAGCUUGUGCGUCCCCUGUGCACAGAGCGAGCCUGGCGUGGGCAGCCCAAGGAGCGGGCCCGCAGGAAUGCAGGUGAACAGAGCCAAAUUGUUCCAGCCGCGAGAAGAAGGGAAGAGAGAGGAAGAAGGAGAGAAAGGAAAAGCAAAGGAGAGAAGGAAGAGCUGGGAGGAGGGGAGUGGAAAUAAUCCUUGUCUGUGCGUGGUGGAAUUUCUCUGGAGAUAUUUGCAGGGCAGUGUGGUUAAAAAAAAAAAAAAAAUCCUUAGAAAAAUAAUAAAACGUCCUGCCUUCCACACAUACCCGUGAGGGGAGGUUUUUGUCAGUGGCCUCCAUGGGAAAGUGAUGUUCGAGAGAACAAUUGCUGGGCUGUUGUACCGCGCCUGCCUCUAUGAAUGAAGCUUAAGAAAAGGUGUCCUUGGACUCUUGCUAAAACCCAUCAUCUUCUCCAUUCCCUGCGUGUGCCCGCUCGCUGCCGCUGCCUCCUGAAACAGGCCAACAACUUAUAAACAAAGCAGUAUAAAAGAUGAGAUGGGAGUGUGCUCAGCCUCAUUUCCUUGCCGGCAGCCGCCAGUUAGCUGCUCGUCCCUGCUGCACUGUGGUGGGGUGCCAGGGCUGCGGCUCGGUGGUCCCUGCUCUCUGGGGAGCUCUGGCGUUGCAGAAAGCAAAGUUGAAGACAGAGGCGGGGGGAGGGGGGGCGGGGAAGCUGGUCCUGAACGGGGUCUUUGGGGCAACUUGUCCUUUGAGGUGGGCCAGGCAGUCCACGUGAGCAGCACAGGUGCUUUCUUGCUAAGGAGCAAAUAUCGGCCAUGCCUCCGCCUGGCGUGCUUGCAUGGCUUGCUGCAGCGUGCUCUGAGCUGCAAACUCACCGGUGAACAGGAGGGUUUCUGUAAGCACUGCAGGGACAUGGUCCCUGUGACAGCCCCGUGUUGCUCCGGGGAGGCUGGAUGUCCAUGGUCUGCAGAGGAGCCCUGGGAUCCCCACCACAGAUGAAAAGGAUAAAAAGGAAAAGCAUGACUUUGGAAUGGCUUCGCAUAAACCCUCGGGUGUGUAGGGAAGAAACCAAAUCAGAGGAGCAGCUGUGGGACUUGUGCAGCCCCCUGUGAAAAAUGGGAGAGACCACGGAAAGGAGAAAAGCCACCGGGUUCCACUCCAGCCCCUAGUUUUUCCCUUUAUAGCUGGAGGGAUGAAGAACAGGCACGAACAGCACAGAUAAGCGGCCGAGAGCCCUGCUGCCCUGUUCAGCCUUGCUGCACCCCUGGCAGCUCCUCUGGCCGAAGCAGGUUGGACCCACGUCUGGCACGUGGGGUCUGGCCAGGAAACCUUCAAGUAGCAGCACUUUCCCUUUUAAGCAGGUGAGAUGGUGCCCAGAAAUGAAAGGCAGCUGCAGAAUUUGCCUCCUCCCAAGACUGGAUGAAACCAGAGCGCUUUAAGACAACACAGCGCAAGAAUCAAUCCGCUCAAGUGGCACCAAAGGGUUGUACCCAGGAGAAAAUGCAGUGAAAGAGAUGAGCCAGGCUUCUGGGGAGCGACCUCUUUGUCAAUGCUAAUGAGUGAAUCCUGGUGCAGCCUCAGGACAGUAACUAUCAUCAUUGUUAUGCUGGCCCCCAAAAACCAGAGUCCAGCUCUAGAUGGUUCUCCUGCUGGUAACUAGGAAAAUACCAGGAAUGAGAAAAUUGAGGAGUGGCGAACGAAGUGCCUGGUACUCUUUCUGGGAUGUUCUCCUGUUGGUUGGAAAUGUAGGAAGAAACCUGGUUAUUUUCAUGGCUCUUGCGGUCUGCAGCUCCAUCCCAGCUGUGACGGACCCUCUUGGGAGGUAUUUCAGUUGUGCUGGGUUCUGCUCAGCACUCAUGCUAGCAAAAUUCAAGACAGCUCAGGCUCCCCGGUGCUGUACAGCAGUUGCUGCUGGUGAGAUGAUGCCUAUUUGACCUAAAUCAAGGACUGGACUUGAGAUCUUGUUUGGUUAGCAUACACAUUUUUUAUGGUUUGGGUCUUGGCUGGGGGACAGAGCUUGAUGCACACCUUGGAUAUAGGAGGCAGAAAACACCUGGGAAGAGGUAGAAGAGGCAGCUUGUAGCCAUCUCCUCCUGACUAUUUGCAGCUCCCUGGCUGAGCCAGGAGAGUUGGAUCCAGCAAUGCUGUUCUUCAGCUUGGGCUGCUGCUUCUUCCUGGUGUCCCUUCAGGUACAUGUUCUUUGUUGGCAGGAGCAGAGGCUCUGGCCAUUCCCUUGUCCUUUGCAGAGCAGGUCUCUUCUUUCCCUGAUGAAUUCUGAUGGGCUUUUGUAGCUUUUGCUGUUGCAAUUUCCCCUGGAGAUCUUGGUGGGAGCUGAUUUGGGCCAUGCAGGAAGGUGGCUGGGCUUUGAGGUCUUCUCAGAGGAGACUGAGGAUGCUGAAGUUUCAGGGAUGUGGAUGGCCAGUGUGUGCACAUAGCUAUCACUGGGGCUGGUUGAAAAAUGGUUGUGACAUUUAUGUGGGUAGGAGACAGGCACAGGCUGUGGAGAUGAAUGAUAAAACCCUGUGGAGUUGUCCUGGCCCUGUCCCUGACAGGGAGGUGGAAGGAACCGCUGAUGCUCUUGUUCUCUUUAGGCUUUCGGGGGAUCCUUUUAAUGCAGCAGCUCUUUG